This 1515-nucleotide long non-coding RNA is filed under the name Monodelphis domestica (gray short-tailed opossum). RNAcentral's name for it is "lncRNA (ENSMODG00000036400.1)". The record is from RNAcentral. Lineage: Eukaryota; Metazoa; Chordata; Mammalia; Didelphimorphia; Didelphidae.
UCACAACCUAUGGUAAUCAUGAUUGACUUCUCUUUUUUAAAAAAUUCAAUAUGAUAUUUUCUGUUUAUAAAUUGUUCUUGAAUCUCUUCCUUGUCCCACAAGGAAAAAGGAAAAGAGAAGAAAACACCAUUUUCAGUCAAUGUUUUUUAUGUCUAUCUCUCUCUUGUUUGUUUGUUUGUUUGUUUUUCCUACUAGAAAAAUUGUGUAGGGGUACCAAUCAGUAGAUAAAGCUAGAGUGCUAGGUCUGAAUUCAAAUCUUACCUCAGAUGCUUACUAGUUCUGUGUAUCUCUGAGCAAGUUGCUUAAUCUAUUUGCCUUAAUCCAUUAGAGAAGGAAAUAGCAAAUCACUCCAGUGUCUUUAUCAAGAAAAUCCCAUGGAAAGUAUGGUCCAUGGGGUCAUGAAGAAUUAGACAAGACAGAACAACAGCAAAUAUGGAGGAGGGAUGAGAAUAACUUCUCUCCCCACUAAAGUCAUUCUGGUUGGGAAGUGACCCCAGGUUCCUAAAAAAUCUGCCCGUCCCAAACUCUGGGAGUUCUGUAAGAGAGGAAUUUGUCCAAUUUGUGCAAGGAGAAAUCUCUGGCAGAAUUCAGCUGCAGAGAGAGAGUGGGGAAGGUGCAAGAAGAAAAAACUCAAGAUUCCAUUCAGAGAAUCAGAAACUUGGAGGACUCCAAAUGGUAAUCACUCCUUCACUUCUUCCAGCUAGGAGCCAGGUCCGUGUUGGUGAACCUAUGGCACGUGUGCCAAAGGGAGAGCUGCUCCCCUCCCCCUCUUCACAUGUGUCCAAGGAUGUUUCUCACAUGACCCGUCCCUCUCCCCAACAGCCAAUGGGAGUGCUUCCUCUCUCCCCUAUAUGGGGUAAGGCGGGGCUCAGAGUUGCAGUUUGAGCACUUGCUCUCUAUGUUGCCUUCCGGCUGGCUACCUUCUCAUGCCACAGAACCAGCCCCACUUCUCUUUCUGUCAUACAGUUCUUUGAUGACAUCCUUACUCCUGGUUAUCUUUAGAGUUCCUUGUUGGCCAAAAGUAUGCUAUACAUAAUUAUAGAUACAAUCCUCUUUUUCUUUUCUUUGUGUAUUGAAACAUUUGUUGAAAUUUAAACUUCAAAACCAAAAGGAAUAGAGUGAGAUGAUACUAUAAUUUGGUUCUCUAGAGGCUCUUGAAUGCCUCUUUCCCCAAGAGUCAUGUGUAUAAAUACUAUUAUGAUGAUAGAAUAGAUCCAGGUACAUUCCAGGGGGAUUUUCUCAUUCUCUUCUCAGUGCCCCCAAUAAGGAAACCUGAGAAAAUAGUAAGUUAUUGACCCUGGAUCAGUGGAUUAAAAGUUCUUGAAAUAUGGAAAGAACAUUAAAGAUCAUCUAAUUCAAUCCAAUAAUUUUACAGAAGAGGAAACUGAGGCCCAGAGAGAUUAGAAUAAUUGCCCAGUCACACAGAUAGUAAGUAAUGGAACCAGGAAUUUGAUACACACAGCAUGACUUUUAGUUUAUCACUCUAAGUCACACCACUAAAAUGCAUAGUAUAUA